Molecule: transfer RNA, 89 nt
Filed under: Oscillospiraceae bacterium
Lineage: Bacteria; Bacillati; Bacillota; Clostridia; Eubacteriales; Oscillospiraceae
Description: tRNA-Ser
Rfam family: tRNA
About the family: Transfer RNA (tRNA) molecules are approximately 80 nucleotides in length. Their secondary structure includes four short double-helical elements and three loops (D, anti-codon, and T loops).
Source: RNAcentral
GGAGAGGUAUUCUAAUUGGUAAGGAGCCACAUUGGAAAUGUGGUGUGCCUGCAAAGGCAUUGUGCGUUCGAGUCGCAUCCUCUCCGCCA